AGUGCAGCUCUAAGCGGGAGGUAAACUCCUUCUAAGGCUAAAUACGGCCACGAGACCGAUAGCGAACAAGUACCGCGAGGGAAAGUUGAAAAGAACUUUGAAGAGAGAGUUCAAGAGUGCGUGAAACCGUUUGGAGGGUAAAACGGGUGGGCGCUCGAAGAUCGAACGAUCCUUACUCCCGCCAUCUGCACGCCAGUCUCUUGUAGAUCCUAACGUGUGCCCACGUCUUCACGGAUGUGAGUUUGCCACGGGUCUUGCAGGAGUUCACUGGCGGCCGUGCAGGGGCCGCAAGUUUGGGAUCUAGUAGGACUCCGCAACCGUCUGGAUAGACGUCAAACGGAACCUUCUUGAGUAUUCCACGGCUUGUCGUUCCGUUUCGGCGGUUAACUUCAAGCGGGGAGUGUUCCUGACGUUCUAGUCCGGACGUUAUCACCUGUUCGGAGAUGUGGAAAAMCWUUUCCACGUCCCAACWGCGGAGAGUAGAAUAGUC
Molecule: ribosomal RNA, 490 nt
Filed under: Cyclestheria hislopi
Lineage: Eukaryota; Metazoa; Arthropoda; Branchiopoda; Diplostraca; Cyclestheriidae
Description: eukaryotic LSU rRNA
Rfam family: Eukaryotic large subunit ribosomal RNA
Source: RNAcentral